ACGGGUGAGUAAUGCCUAGGAAUCUGCCUGGUAGUGGGGGAUAACGCUCGGAAACGGACGCUAAUACCGCAUACGUCCUACGGGAGAAAGCAGGGGACCUUCGGGCCUUGCGCUAUCAGAUGAGCCUAGGUCGGAUUAGCUAGUUGGUGGGGUAAUGGCUCACCAAGGCGACGAUCCGUAACUGGUCUGAGAGGAUGAUCAGUCACACUGGAACUGAGACACGGUCCAGACUCCUACGGGAGGCAGCAGUGGGGAAUAUUGGUCAAUGGGCGAAAGCCUGAUCCAGCCAUGCCGCGUGUGUGAAGAAGGUCUUCGGAUUGUAAAGCACUUUAAGUUGGGAGGAAGGGCAUUAACCUAAUACGUUAGUGUUUUGACGUUACCGACAGAAUAAGCACCGGCUAACUCUGUGCCAGCAGCCGCGGUAAUACAGAGGGUGCAAGCGUUAAUCGGAAUUACUGGGCGUAAAGCGCGCGUAGGUGGUUCGUUAAGUUGGAUGUGAAAUCCCCGGGCUCAACCUGGGAACUGCAUUCAAAACUGUCGAGCUAGAGUAUGGUAGAGGGUGGUGGAAUUUCCUGUGUAGCGGUGA
RNAcentral lists this ribosomal RNA (586 nucleotides) under uncultured Pseudomonas sp. RNAcentral's name for it is "bacterial SSU rRNA". It matches the Rfam family "Bacterial small subunit ribosomal RNA", at positions 102 to 684 of the family's 1533-position model. The record is from RNAcentral. Lineage: Bacteria; Pseudomonadati; Pseudomonadota; Gammaproteobacteria; Pseudomonadales; Pseudomonadaceae.